This 315-nucleotide ribosomal RNA is filed under the name Triticum aestivum (bread wheat). RNAcentral's name for it is "partial small subunit ribosomal RNA". Lineage: Eukaryota; Viridiplantae; Streptophyta; Magnoliopsida; Poales; Poaceae. The record is from RNAcentral.
AUGGCUGCACAGGCUGGUUCGACGGCCCCGCGCCGUUUGGUGGUGGCGACGAAGAUCCUGGUGGCGCUAGUUUCGACCUCCACGCCGAAAACGACGAAGGUCGCGCACAUGACGGUGGAAGCGGCGACGUCCGCUCACACCGUGGCGACAGUUGCGUGCGAUGAAGCGGCGGCGACGGCUGGCGGCGCGAGCCAGGCGAAGAAGAAAAAAGACAGGAAACCAGGCAUUUUUCUUCUCACCUUUUGCCUGUUCUUUGUAAAGGAACGAGAGAGACAACCAUCAGAGAGACAAAUGAAUCAAAGUAUCCUUUAUUGA